CACGUAGGGUGCGAGCGUUGUCCGGAAUUAUUGGGCGUAAAGAGCUCGUAGGCGGUGUGUCACGUCGGCCGUGAAAACCUGCAGCUUAACUGUGGGCGUGCGGUCGAUACGGGCAUCACUGGAGUUCGGCAGGGGAGACUGGAAUUCCUGGUGUAGCGGUGAAAUGCGCAGAUAUCAGGAGGAACACCGGUGGCGAAGGCAGGUCUCUGGGCCGAUACUGACGCUGAGGAGCGAAAGCGUGGGGAGCGAACAGG
This 254-nucleotide ribosomal RNA is filed under the name uncultured bacterium. RNAcentral describes it as "partial 16S ribosomal RNA". It matches the Rfam family "Bacterial small subunit ribosomal RNA", at positions 524 to 776 of the family's 1533-position model. The record is from RNAcentral.